Molecule: long non-coding RNA, 1442 nt
Organism: Penaeus chinensis
Lineage: Eukaryota; Metazoa; Arthropoda; Malacostraca; Decapoda; Penaeidae
Exons: 2
Source: RefSeq, a predicted model, not a curated record
CAUUUAUCUAUCUAUCUAUAUAUAUAUAUAUGAUAUAUAUAAUAUAUAUAUAAAUAAUAUAUAUAUAUAUAAAUAAUAUAUAUAUGUGUGUGUGUGUGUGUGUGUUUGUGUUUGUGUUUCUUGCAUGCAUGUUUCAAUGAGAGAAAAGUAAAGGUGUGUGAAGUUCAUCAGUAAUGAAGUGCUGUCAGUCAGUUAAAAGCUAAAAGACAAAGUUAAAAGAAUUAUGGAGAUGUCCUUAGAGGCAGCAAAAGGUCUCUUCUUGCAUCUUGAAAUAGUGUGAUGCCAAUUUUCUAAACAGUACUGUAGUGACUGGAUAAAAUGCUGUUUUGUUAUACCUCCUAGACUGAAGUUGGAGGAGAAUGUAUGAUAUAUGAAAUUGAACAAGGGUAUUCUGUAAAUUUUGAGAAAAGGAAGUAAGUUUUUAAAAAAAAUGUCUCCAAGACAAUCUGCAGGGCUGACAAAAAUAGUUUCCUGGCACUGGCUUAAUGAGAAAUUGACUUGAUGUGGUCUUCUGCAACACAUUUGAUAGAACUAGAGUGGCAUUUUCAAUCAAUGUUCUGCUGUUAGAUUGAAGAUGUCUCAAAUGUUUCACUGAAAAUAUAAAAAUGUUAGAUCACAUGGAUUAAAUAUUAUGGGUUGAUAAGCAUGAAAUGCUUGAGUGAAACAAGUGUAUAUGUAUCUGUUAUAUGUAUAUACCCUUCUGCCAUACAGUUGUCAUUGGUUGUGACUGUGUUUGUUCUCUGGAAGCAAGUCUGGUGAAGUCUUCAGCAUUACCUGUUCCUUAGUGUGAGAGAGGAACUUUUCCUUGGUUGGUGACACUCCAUUCCUCCUUCCUCAAGUCAAGGUUAUGAGGAUUCUGCUCUUUCCUAAGUGCCCAGAUGUGGUUUAGAGCACUCUGCAUUUUCUGCACCACUUGAGCUCUUGAACAUACAUUUGCAUGAGGUGCCAGUCAGUCAUGUGUGAAGACCUGUGGGAAUGUCACAGCCACCACAGGCCAGCAAGAUAAUUCUAUGGCACACUAUAGCUUCCAGGAUUAAGUUCAAAUUGGGAAUGAACAAGAUUAGCCAGUGGCAACCAGUUUCAUUUACAAGAUGUAAAUGGUGUCUUGAUUUUUCCAGUCAUUUGCAUCAAAUACUUUGGUGAGCACAUGUGAUCCACUUAUAUAUAUAUAUAUAUAUAUAUAUAUAUAUAUAUAUAAUAUAUAUAUAUAUAUAUAUAGUGUGUGUAAAGACAGUACACAUUCAUACAUAUUCAGCUUAUACAUAAUACAUGUAUGGUAGAAACAUACAAACACUUUCAGGUGUGUAUAUACACAUUCAUACAAAAAACUAUGGACAUGCACAUAAAGUGCAUGCACACACACACACACACACACACACACACACACACACACACACACACACACACACACACACACACACACACACACACACACACACACA